AUUGAACGCUGGCGGCAGGCCUAACACAUGCAAGUCGAGCGGAUGAAGGGAGCUUGCUCCUGGAUUCAGCGGCGGACGGGUGAGUAAUGCCUAGGAAUCUGCCUGGUAGUGGGGGAUAACGUCCGGAAACGGGCGCUAAUACCGCAUACGUCCUGAGGGAGAAAGUGGGGGAUCUUCGGACCUCACGCUAUCAGAUGAGCCUAGGUCGGAUUAGCUAGUUGGUGGGGUAAAGGCCUACCAAGGCGACGAUCCGUAACUGGUCUGAGAGGAUGACCAGUCACACUGGAACUGAGACACGGUCCAGACUCCUACGGGAGGCAGCAGUGGGGAAUAUUGGACAAUGGGCGAAAGCCUGAUCCAGCCAUGCCGCGUGUGUGAAGAAGGUCUUCGGAUUGUAAAGCACUUUAAGUUGGGAGGAAGGGCAGUAAGUUAAUACCUUGCUGUUUUGACGGUACCAACAGAAUAAGCACCGGCUAACUUCGUG
This 484-nucleotide ribosomal RNA is filed under the name uncultured bacterium. RNAcentral's name for it is "partial 16S ribosomal RNA". It matches the Rfam family "Bacterial small subunit ribosomal RNA", at positions 30 to 507 of the family's 1533-position model. The record is from RNAcentral.